CGGACGGGUGAGUAACGCGUGAGAAUUUGCCUUUAGGAAGAGGAUAACUUCUAGAAAUAGAUGCUAAAACUCUAUAUGUCUAACGAUGAAAAAAGCAAUUUGCCUAAAGAGAAGCUCGCGUCUGACUAGCUAGUUGGUAGGGUAAAGGCCUACCAAGGCGACGAUCAGUAGCUGGUCUGAGAGGACGAUCAGCCACACUGGAACUGAGACACGGUCCAGACUCCUACGGGAGGCAGCAGUGAGGAAUUUUCUGCAAUGGGCGAAAGCCUGACAGAGCAAUACCGCGUGAGGGAUGAAGGCCUAUGGGUUGUAAACCUCUUUUCCCAGGGAAGAAGAUCUGACGUUACUUGGGGAAUAAGCAUCGGCUAACCCUGUGCCAGCAGCCGCGGUAAUACAGGGGAUGCAAGUGUUAUCCGGAAUUAUUGGGCGUAAAGCGUCUGCAGGUGGAUUUAUAAGUCUUUUGUUAAAUCUUUGAGCUUAACUCAAAAUCGGCAAAAGAAACUAUUUAUCUUGAGUAUGGUAGAGGUAAAGGGAAUUUCCAGUGGAGCGGUGAAAUGCGUAGAUAUUGGAAAGAACACCAACAGCGAAAGCACUUUACUGGGCCAUUACUGACACUCAGAGACGAAAGCUAGGGGAGCAAAUGGGAUUAGAUACCCCUGUAGUC
RNAcentral lists this ribosomal RNA (664 nucleotides) under uncultured cyanobacterium. Its description in RNAcentral is "bacterial SSU rRNA". It matches the Rfam family "Bacterial small subunit ribosomal RNA", at positions 99 to 795 of the family's 1533-position model. Lineage: Bacteria; Bacillati; Cyanobacteriota. The record is from RNAcentral.